AUGUAUUGGCUAUGUGCUUUGCAAUUUAAGUUGAGAUGGCAGAUUAGGACUGAACGGUGCCAACAACGAUGGGAUGGUGUAAGGGAGACAAGAAGAGUGACAAUGAAUUUAAUAUGAGCGAGCAUGGUGUGUAAUUAGGAAACUUUCGGAGAAAGUGAGAGGAAGUGUGGGAUUGAGAACUUGGGUGUCCUUAUCAAUUUGAGGACUUACACCCACACAAAUUCCAGAUUCGAUACAGUUGUUAUUGAAGGUGAAGAAUUAGUAUAAAAUGAUGAACUACGAGUGGCUUGAUCCCUUUAAAAGGGUACGUAGGCAGCCCGAUCAAGUUUUGGGUGCAGCCGCAAAUUAACAAAAUAAAUUUAGGUUCCAAACGCAGUAAAACUGCGUUGUUGUUUUGUUUGAGAAUGAGAUCCUAUCUCAUUUUCGAUUUUAGGAUUUUCUUAUUUAUUUUAUUCGUUUUUUUUUUUAUAACACCUGGGUCAGGGUGUUACAUCGUUUAAUGGCAUGUUUAAUAGAUGAUCUAGAAUCGGGAGUGAGAUAUUUUUCCCACCAGGAAUGAAGCAUUCUUGUAAAUCUUGUGGAAAGUAUAUCAAUAAUUUCAGUUUGGCUGAAAUUAUGAUUAGUGACAUAGCUAUUGGCUGUCAUAGACAUGUGAUGUAAUUUGUUUAAGAUUUCUUGUUAUGAUAAAUUAUCAAUGUUCCAUUCAUAAGUUUUAUUAGAAGAAACUGAGAAUUGAUUAUUAAGAUGAUUAGUAGGUUGUCUAUCUAAGGGGAGAGGACGUUCUGUAUAAAUCUGAGUCAAUAUCCAUUAAACCAAUUCUUGACCCAAAAAACCCAUCUAAAAUAUUAUAUGAUUCCCUCUACAUAAUUCGUACCAUUUUAUUAUCCCAAUGGGGUGAUUCCCCCUCUACUCCUCACAAAUAUGAUACAGUCAAAUUUAAUUAUCAUGAAUUCUAGAAGUAAU
Molecule: long non-coding RNA, 963 nt
Filed under: Fragaria vesca (wild strawberry)
Lineage: Eukaryota; Viridiplantae; Streptophyta; Magnoliopsida; Rosales; Rosaceae
Description: long non-coding RNA (FVES_LNC004887)
Source: RNAcentral